RNAcentral lists this ribosomal RNA (406 nucleotides) under uncultured bacterium. RNAcentral describes it as "partial 16S ribosomal RNA". It matches the Rfam family "Bacterial small subunit ribosomal RNA", at positions 30 to 526 of the family's 1533-position model. The record is from RNAcentral.
AUUGAACGCUGGCGGCAGGCCUAACACAUGCAAGUCGAGCGAGCGGCGGACGGGUGAGUAAUGUAUGGGGACCUGCCCGAUAGAGGGGGAUAACUACUGGAACCGGUGGCUAAUACCGCAUACCAUCCGAUGAGCCCAGAUGGGAUUAGCUAGUAGGUGGGGUAAAGGCUCACCUAGGCGACGAUCCCUAGCUGGUCUGAGAGGAUGAUCAGCCACACUGGGACUGAGACACGGCCCAGACUCCUACGUGAGGCAGCAGUGGGGAAUCUUGCAAAAUGGGCGAAAGCCUGAUGGAGCCAUGCCGCGUGUAUGAAGAAGGCCUGAGGGUUGUAAAGUACUUUCAGCGGGGAGGCGUUACCCGCAGAAGAAGCACCGGCUAACUCCGUGCCAGCAGCCGCGGUAAUAC